UACGAAGGGGGCUAGCGUUGCUCGGAAUUACUGGGCGUAAAGGGCGCGUAGGCGGACAGUUAAGUCGGGGGUGAAAGCCCGGGGCUCAACCUCGGAAUUGCCUUCGAUACUGGCUGUCUUGAGUGCGGGAGAGGUGUGUGGAACUCCGAGUGUAGAGGUGAAAUUCGUAGAUAUUCGGAAGAACACCAGUGGCGAAGGCGACACACUGGCCCGUUACUGACGCUGAGGCGCGAAAGCGUGGGGAGCAAAC
Molecule: ribosomal RNA, 250 nt
Filed under: uncultured bacterium
Lineage: Bacteria
Description: partial 16S ribosomal RNA
Rfam family: Bacterial small subunit ribosomal RNA
Source: RNAcentral